GGAAUAUUGGACAAUGGGCGAAAGCCUGAUCCAGCCAUGCCGCGUGUGUGAAGAAGGCCUUUUGGUUGUAAAGCACUUUAAGCGGGGAGGAGGGCACCACGGUUAAUACCCGUGAAUGUCGGACGUUACCCGCAGAAUAAGCACCGGCUAACUCUGUGCCAGCAGCCGCGGUAAUACAGAGGGUGCGAGCGUUAAUCGGAAUUACUGGGCGUAAAGCGCGCGUAGGCGGCUUGUUAAGUCAAAUGUGAAAUCCCCGAGCUUAACUUGGGCAUUGCAUUCGAUACUGGCAAGCUAGAGUAUGGGAGAGGAAGGUAGAAUUCCAGGUGUAGCGGUGAAAUGCGUAGAGAUCUGGAGGAAUACCGAUGGCGAAGGCAGCCUUCUGGCCUAAUACUGACGCUGAGGUGCGAAAGCAUGGGGAGCAAACAGGAUUAGAUACCCCGG
Molecule: ribosomal RNA, 441 nt
Filed under: uncultured Alkanindiges sp.
Lineage: Bacteria; Pseudomonadati; Pseudomonadota; Gammaproteobacteria; Moraxellales; Moraxellaceae
Description: bacterial SSU rRNA
Rfam family: Bacterial small subunit ribosomal RNA
Source: RNAcentral